Long non-coding RNA from Rosa chinensis, 426 nucleotides. RefSeq lists it as uncharacterized. NCBI's taxonomy places the organism in Eukaryota, Viridiplantae, Streptophyta, Magnoliopsida, Rosales, Rosaceae. The record is from RefSeq and is a predicted model, not a curated record. The transcript has 3 exons.
UUAUAUUUGAAGAAGAAAAGGCAGGAUUCAAAGGUGGUCAGCUUGAUAUCUGUUGUACUUGUCCACACUGAUCAAAGGCGCAAAUCAAAAGGAACUAACAAGGAAUUGUGCAGAUGGUUGGAUUACAGGGGAUGUUGGUGUUGCUUAGUUUGCAACAAAUUUCUUUGAGAAACUACCUCCCAAAUGCCAAGUGACAUAAGCUUUUAUCAGUACGGAAUCCUCCGACUAAUGGGGAAACCGGGAAAGUUUUCAUGGCCUCAUAACUUCCUGCCAGAGCACAAUCUGAGACUCUCUCAUAUCAAGCCUCACAGUACGUAAAUCAAGUGAUAUGGUACAUCAUUAUCUGUUUUAUGCUAUUUGCUUUGAGGGUUAAUUAAGGUGCUGUUUUGAAUUCAAUCUGGAAAUUAAUCUUUCAUCUUAUUAAGU